AGUGUGCUAGCUUGCUAGAAUUUAGAUACAGGUGCUGCACGGCUGUCGUCAGCUCGUGUCGUGAGAUGUGGGUUAAGUCCCGCAACGAGCGCACCCUCGUGUUAGUUGCUAACAGUUCGGCUGAGAACUCUAAACAGACUGCCUACGCAAGUAGGAGGAAGGUGAGGACGACGUCAAGUCAUCAUGGCCCUUACGGCCAGGGCUACACACGUGCUACAAUGGGGUAUACAAAGAGCAGCGAUACGGUGACGUGGAGCAAAUCUAGAAAAUGCCUCUCAGUUCGGAUUGUAGUCUGCAACUCGACUACAUGAAGUUGGAAUCGCUAGUAAUCGUAGAUCAGCAAUGCUACGGUGGAUACGUUCCCGGGUCUU
This 371-nucleotide ribosomal RNA is filed under the name uncultured Arcobacter sp. RNAcentral describes it as "bacterial SSU rRNA". It matches the Rfam family "Bacterial small subunit ribosomal RNA", at positions 1007 to 1382 of the family's 1533-position model. The record is from RNAcentral. Lineage: Bacteria; Pseudomonadati; Campylobacterota; Epsilonproteobacteria; Campylobacterales; Arcobacteraceae.